UGAAGCAGAUCAAGAACCCAG
This 21-nucleotide microRNA is filed under the name Eugenia uniflora (Surinam cherry). Its description in RNAcentral is "eun-miR10223-5p". The record is from miRBase by way of RNAcentral. Lineage: Eukaryota; Viridiplantae; Streptophyta; Magnoliopsida; Myrtales; Myrtaceae.